UUUCAGACAGUGCCUGACGAUGACUGAGACACUGCCCAGACUCCUACGGGAGGCUGCAGUCGAGAAUAUUUAGCAAUGGACGAAAGUCUGACUAUGCGACGCCGCGUGAGGGAUGAAGGAUUUCGGUUCGUAAACCUCUUUUGGCAGGGAAGAAAAUUUCAAAUCUAAUAGGUUUGAACCUGACGGUACCUGCAGAAUAAGCCACGGCUAACUCCGUGCCAGCAGCCGCGGUAAUACGGAGGUGGCAAGCGUUACUCGGAAUUAUUGGGUGUAAAGGGCAAGUAGGCGGCGUGAUAAGUGGGUGGUGAAAUACUUCUGCUCAACAGGAGAACUGCCUUCCAAACUAUCAUGCUUGAGUAUACCAGAGGAAAAGGGAAUUCUAGGUGUAAGGGUGAAAUCUGUAGAUAUCUAGAAGAACACCAGCGGCGAAGGCGCUUUUCUGGGGUAUUACUGACGCUAAAUUGCGAAAGCUAGGGGAGCAAACAGAAUUAGAUACUCUGGUAGUCCUAGCCGUAAACGAUGAGCACUAGAUGUCUGCUCCUUUAGGAGUAGGUGUCGCAGCUAACGCAUUAAGUGCUCCACCUGGGGACUACGGUCGCAAGGCUAAAACUCAAAGGAAUUGACGGGGGCCCGCACAAGCGGUGGAACAUGUGGUUUAAUUCGAAGCUACGCGAAAAACCUCACCAGGGCUUGACAUACAGGAAGUAGUGAAAUGAAAGUGGAACGACCCGUUAAGUCGGGAGCCUGAACAGGUGCUGCAUGGCUGUCGUCAGCCCGUGUCGUGAGAUGUUGGGUUAAGUCCCGCAACGAACGCAACCAUCAUCCUUUGUUGCCACUUAUAUCGAGCUUGCUCGGUAUGAAGCACUCUAAGGAGACUGCCCGGGAUAACCGGGAGGAAGGUGGAGAUGACGUCAAGUCAGUACGGCCUUUGUGCCCUGGGCGACACACGUGUUACAAUGGGUGGGACAAAGGGUUGCCAACCCGCGAGGGGGAGCUAAUCUCAAAAACCCACCCCCAGUUCAGAUCGCAGUCUGCAAUUUGACUGCGUGAAGCCGGAAUCGCUAGUAAUGGGAGAUCAGCACGCUCCCGUGAAUACGUUCCCGGGCCUUGUACACACCGCCCGUCAAGCGAUGGGAGUUAGGGGUACCCGAAGUGUCAUGUAGAUGACCCUAAGGUAAAACUAAUGACUGGCGCUAAGUCGGAACAAGGUAGCCGUACG
Molecule: ribosomal RNA, 1219 nt
Filed under: metagenome
Description: bacterial SSU rRNA
Rfam family: Bacterial small subunit ribosomal RNA
Source: RNAcentral